Molecule: ribosomal RNA, 424 nt
Filed under: uncultured eukaryote
Lineage: Eukaryota
Description: bacterial SSU rRNA
Rfam family: Eukaryotic small subunit ribosomal RNA
Source: RNAcentral
CAAUAGCGUAUAUUAAAGUUGUUGCGGUUAAAAGCUCGUAGUUGGAUUUCUGCCGAGGACGACCGGUCCGCCCUCUGGGUGAGUAUCUGGCUCGGCCUGGGCAUCUUCUUGGAGAACGUAUCUGCACUUGACUGUGUGGUGCGGUAUCCAGGACUUUUACUUUGAGGAAAUUAGAGUGUUUCAAGCAGGCACACGCCUUGAAUACAUUAGCAUGGAAUAAUAAGAUAGGACCUCGGUUCUAUUUUGUUGGUUUCUAGAGCUGAGGUAAUGAUUGAUAGGGACAGUUGGGGGCAUCAGUAUUCUGAAGCGAGAGGUGAAAUUCUUGGACCUUCGGAAGACUAACAACUGCGAAAGCAUUUGCCUAGGAUGUUCUCUUUAAUUCAAGAACGAAAGUUAGGGGGAGUCGAAGAUGAUUAGAUACCAU